UCCCUGAUAGCUCAGUGGUAGAGCAGGUGACUGUUAAUCACCGGGUCGGCGGUUCGAGCCCGUCUCAGGGAGCCA
Molecule: transfer RNA, 75 nt
Filed under: Alphaproteobacteria bacterium
Lineage: Bacteria; Pseudomonadati; Pseudomonadota; Alphaproteobacteria
Description: tRNA-Asn
Rfam family: tRNA
About the family: Transfer RNA (tRNA) molecules are approximately 80 nucleotides in length. Their secondary structure includes four short double-helical elements and three loops (D, anti-codon, and T loops).
Source: RNAcentral